UCCUGAAACGGGUGUAAUGCCGUAUGUCCACAUGAGCGCAUGCGAGUGUGGGGAAAGGCUUUUGCGGCAUGGGAUGGGGUCGCGUCCUAUCAGCUUGUUGGUGGGGUAACGGCCUACCAAGGCGUUGACGGGUAGCCGGCCUGAGAGGGCGACCAGCCACAUUGGGACUGAGAUACGGCCCAGACUCCUACGGGAGGCAGCAGUGGGGAAUAUUGCACAAUGGGCGCAAGCCUGAUGCAGCGACGCCGCGUGCGGGAUGGAGGCCUUCGGGUUGUAAACCGCUUUUGUUCAAGGGCAAGGCACGGUUUCGGCCGUGUUGAGUGGAUUGUUCGAAUAAGCACCGGCUAACUACGUGCCAGCAGCCGCGGUAGUACGUAGGGUGCAAGCGUUAUCCGGAUUUAUUGGGCGUAAAGGGCUCGUAGGCGGUUCGUCGCGUCCGGUGUGAAAGUCCAUCGCUUAACGGUGGAUCCGCGCCGGGUACGGGCGGGCUUGAGUGCGGUAGGGGAGACUGGAAUUCCCGGUGUAACGGUGGAAUGUGUAGAUAUCGGGAAGAACACC
This 558-nucleotide ribosomal RNA is filed under the name uncultured Bifidobacterium sp. RNAcentral's name for it is "bacterial SSU rRNA". It matches the Rfam family "Bacterial small subunit ribosomal RNA", at positions 149 to 710 of the family's 1533-position model. The record is from RNAcentral. Lineage: Bacteria; Bacillati; Actinomycetota; Actinomycetes; Bifidobacteriales; Bifidobacteriaceae.